This 30-nucleotide non-coding RNA is filed under the name Cricetulus griseus (Chinese hamster). Lineage: Eukaryota; Metazoa; Chordata; Mammalia; Rodentia; Cricetidae. The record is from RNAcentral.
UGCUAGCUAGCACAGGGUCUUUGAGGGUAG